CCUACGGGAGGCAGCAGUGGGGAAUAUUGCACAAUGGGCGAAAGCCUGAUGCAGCGACGCCGCGUGAGGGAUGACGGCCUUCGGGUUGUAAACCUCUUUCAGCAGGGAAAGAAGCGAAAGUGACGGUACCUGCAGAAGAAGCGCCGGCUAACUACGUGCCAGCAGCCGCGGUAAUACGUAGGGCGCAAGCGUUGUCCGGAAUUAUUGGGCGUAAAGAGCUCGUAGGCGGCUUGUCACGUCGGGUGUGAAAGCCCGGGGCUUAACCCCGGGUCUGCAUUCGAUACGGGCUAGCUAGAGUGUGGUAGGGGAGAUCGGAAUUCCUGGUGUAGCGGUGAAAUGCGCAGAUAUCAGGAGGAACACCGGUGGCGAAGGCGGAUCUCUGGGCCAUUACUGACGCUGAGGAGCGAAAGCGUGGGGAGCGAACAGGAUUAGAUACCCUGGUAGUCCACGCCGUAAACGGUGGGAACUAGGUGUUGGCGACAUUCCACGUCGUCGGUGCCGCAGCUAACGCAUAAGUUCCCGCCUGGGGAGUACGGCCGCAGGCUAAAACGUCAAAGGAAUUGACGG
This 567-nucleotide ribosomal RNA is filed under the name uncultured bacterium. Its description in RNAcentral is "bacterial SSU rRNA". It matches the Rfam family "Bacterial small subunit ribosomal RNA", at positions 338 to 916 of the family's 1533-position model. The record is from RNAcentral.